GAAGGGGGCUAGCGUUGCUCGGAAUUACUGGGCGUAAAGGGAGCGUAGGCGGACAUUUAAGUCAGGGGUGAAAUCCCGGGGCUCAACCUCGGAAUUGCCUUUGAUACUGGGUGUCUUGAGUAUGAGAGAGGUAUGUGGAACUCCGAGUGUAGAGGUGAAAUUCGUAGAUAUUCGGAAGAACACCAGUGGCGAAGGCGACAUACUGGCUCAUUACUGACGCUGAGGCUCGAAAGCGUGGGGAGCAAACAGGAUUAGAUACCCUGGUAGUCCACGCCGUAAACGAUGAUUGCUAGUUGUCGGGAUGCAUGCAUUUCGGUGACGCAGCUAACGCAUUAAGCAAUCCGCCUGGGGAGUACGGUC
RNAcentral lists this ribosomal RNA (360 nucleotides) under uncultured organism. Its description in RNAcentral is "bacterial SSU rRNA". It matches the Rfam family "Bacterial small subunit ribosomal RNA", at positions 527 to 887 of the family's 1533-position model. The record is from RNAcentral.